CUGAAAGGAAUAGUGGAAAUAAUGGCAAUAUGGCAAGUAUCUGGUCAGAGGGAUCUGUUAAGGAUACUGUUUGAGGCCAGAACACACUGUUUCUUUUUCAUUCCUCAUCCGCAAUCAGUGUCUUUUCAAGUUACAUAUUUUUACAGACCAGUGUUCCAGGAAAGCAUUUGGUCUCAGCAAACAAAUCAGUGGAAAUAUUAAAAAGGAAACUGUAUACGACUCAGGGUGAAUUUCCAAGUUCUUAAGUGAAGAAACGUCACCACGUGCCCACGCUUCAAUUUCCUCUGUUACUGAUGAUGCUGUCUGAUUAUACUUGUCUUCAACAAUUUCCCUCUGCCUGCCUGACGUCCAGGGGCAUUGGCAGAGCCCAGUCCUUGGCUUCCUUUUCUUCCCUCCUGAUGCGCUCUCUGUGAAGUCUCAUUGUUGCCCACAGAAUUCAGCACCCUUUCUCUGCAGGUGACACCCGAGACUUCACCUCUGGUCCAGAUUCACGUCCACCGCUUCCAUCCCCAUAACUGUGAUGGGAAAAGUCAUCAUGGACCAGCCAUAUUGUGAGCAUGCUCUGCUGUGGGGCGCAUGGUGGAAGCCUUCUGUGGAAGAGAAAAUGGAGGAAAACCAAGGCAUAAAGGCUAUAGCUUCACAGAAAGACAUUUCACUGUUUCUCCUAGGGAAUCCCAGCACCAAAAAGCAGGUGGCAACCAACUGAGAUCAGAGCCCCCAACAUCUGGGAGCUGAUGUUGUGAAGACCAUCUGGGAAGGAAGGACUGCUAAUCAGUGAACCUAGCUCUCUUCUGAGAACUAUCUCAAUGUUUAGACCCUAUUCGUUCUACUUCAUGGACCCUUCCUAGCAUUCUGGGUCAGGGCAGAUUUGUCUCAACACAAAGGCCCUAUAAAGAUAUAUGGUUCUUUUUCACCCAUUUCAAGUCAGCCCUUUUUAACUUAUUCAGUUGACACAGAAUUGGAGUUUUUCAAAAGAAAAAAGUUGACAAUAAGGAGGAAAACAAACAAACAAAAAAAACCCUAACAAAAUAAAAACACAGAAUGGCUGGUUUACA
This 1055-nucleotide long non-coding RNA is filed under the name Sus scrofa (pig). RNAcentral describes it as "lncRNA (ENSSSCG00070025119.1)". The record is from RNAcentral. Lineage: Eukaryota; Metazoa; Chordata; Mammalia; Artiodactyla; Suidae.